GAUGAACGCUGACAGAAUGCUUAACACAUGCAAGUCAACUUGAAUUUGGGUUUUUAACUUAGGUUUGGGUGGCGGACGGGUGAGUAACGCGUAAAGAACUUGCCUCACAGCUAGGGACAACAUUUGGAAACGAAUGCUAAUACCUAAUAUUAUGAUAAUAGGGCAUCCUAUAAUUAUGAAAGCUAUAAGCGCUGUGAGAGAGCUUUGCGUCCCAUUAGCUAGUUGGAGAGGUAACGGCUCACCAAGGCGAUGAUGGGUAGCCGGCCUGAGAGGGUGAUCGGCCACAAGGGGACUGAGACACGGCCCUUACUCCUACGGGAGGCAGCAGUGGGGAAUAUUGGACAAUGGACCGAGAGUCUGAUCCAGCAAUUCUGUGUGCACGAUGAAGUUUUUCGGAAUGAAAAGUGCUUUCAGUUGGGAAGAAACAAAUGACGGUACCAACAGAAGAAGUGACGGCUAAAUACGUG
This 467-nucleotide ribosomal RNA is filed under the name uncultured bacterium. RNAcentral describes it as "partial 16S ribosomal RNA". It matches the Rfam family "Bacterial small subunit ribosomal RNA", at positions 28 to 507 of the family's 1533-position model. The record is from RNAcentral.